RNAcentral lists this ribosomal RNA (501 nucleotides) under uncultured archaeon. RNAcentral describes it as "bacterial SSU rRNA". It matches the Rfam family "Archaeal small subunit ribosomal RNA", at positions 23 to 531 of the family's 1478-position model. The record is from RNAcentral.
GUCACUGCUAUCGGGGUUCGACUAAGCCAUGCAAGUCGAGAGGGGUCAAGCCCUCGGCGAACUGCUCAGUAACACGUGGAUAACCUGACCUAGGGUGGAGGAUAACCCCGGGAAACUGGGGAUAAUACUCCAUAGGCUACGGAAGCUGGAAUGCUCUGUAACCGAAAGUUCCGGCGCCCUAGGAUGGGUCUGCGGCCGAUUAGGUUGUUGUUGGGGUAACGGCCCAACAAGCCGAUCAUCGGUACGGGUUGUGGGAGCAAGAGCCCGGAGAUGGAUUCUGAGACAUGAAUCCAGGCCCUACGGGGCGCAGCAGGCGCGAAAACUUUACAAUGCGGGAAACCGUGAUAAGGGGACCCCGAGUGCCUGUACACGCAGGCUGUUCAGGUGUUUAAAACGCAUCUGGAGAAAGGGCCGGGCAAGACCGGUGCCAGCCGCCGCGGUAAUACCGGCGGCUCGAGUGGUGGCCACUAUUACUGGGCUUAAAGCGUCCGUAGCCGGGUU